AGUGAACGCUGGCGGUAGGCCUAACACAUGCAAGUCGAACGGCAGCACAGUAAGAGCUUGCUCUUACGGGUGGCGAGUGGCGGACGGGUGAGGAAUACAUCGGAAUCUACUUUUUCGUGGGGGAUAACGUAGGGAAACUUACGCUAAUACCGCAUACGACCUACGGGUGAAAGCAGGGGAUCUUCGGACCUUGCGCGAUUGAAUGAGCCGAUGUCGGAUUAGCUAGUUGGCGGGGUAAAGGCCCACCAAGGCGACGAUCCGUAGCUGGUCUGAGAGGAUGAUCAGCCACACUGGAACUGAGACACGGUCCAGACUCCUACGGGAGGCAGCAGUGGGGAAUAUUGGACAAUGGGCGCAAGCCUGAUCCAGCCAUACCGCGUGGGUGAAGAAGGCCUUCGGGUUGUAAAGCCCUUUUGUUGGGAAAGAAAAGCAGCAGGUUAAUACCCCGCUGUUCUGACGUUACCCAAAGAAUAAGCACCGGCUAACCUCGUG
This 492-nucleotide ribosomal RNA is filed under the name uncultured bacterium. RNAcentral describes it as "partial 16S ribosomal RNA". It matches the Rfam family "Bacterial small subunit ribosomal RNA", at positions 29 to 507 of the family's 1533-position model. The record is from RNAcentral.